CGAGUCCGAAUUGACGUUUAUGAGAUCUGAUCGGAUUGGAUUCGUCUCGUUCGAAUCGGAACCGAUCCGUUUGCAUUGUCACGCUGAGUGAAUGCUGAACCUAAGCGAGGCAGAAACCAUCCGCACCAGGGAUAUACAAUCCUUGCUCUUCUUUGGUUUCUCAGGAAUUGGCUGAGUGGAACUCAAUGGCAUCAUCAACUAUGACCUAACUUUAUCUCCCUAGCUCUCCUCAUCAAUGGAAGGCUCUAUGCAGUGGCUGAAUCUUGGGUCUGGGAAGCAGGGCCCAUAUGUAGCUUUUAUCAGCUGUUGUGUACUUUCCAUGUUCGGGAGAAGCUGUAGUCUGUGGACUGAUCUGCAGCUCACCAGGAUUGACUCAACUUCUGUCUUUCCCUCAACUGCGGGUUUAAAUAUAUUAGGAAUUCCAUAAGGAAAAUGCAAUAACAGCUUUUGAUUGAACUGGAAGUGACUAGGAUUGACUUGUUUUUUUUUUCAUUUUUUUAAGGUAGCAAUUUCAUUACAGAGCAAAUGGAUGUAGAAGAGAGGAUUAACACCACAAAAAGAUCAAUUACAGCAGUAAUUUUUUUUUUUUUUUGAGA
This is an RNA transcript of Nelumbo nucifera (sacred lotus), 596 nucleotides long. RefSeq lists it as uncharacterized. The record is from RefSeq and is a predicted model, not a curated record. Lineage: Eukaryota; Viridiplantae; Streptophyta; Magnoliopsida; Proteales; Nelumbonaceae.